RNAcentral lists this ribosomal RNA (369 nucleotides) under uncultured organism. Its description in RNAcentral is "partial 16S ribosomal RNA". It matches the Rfam family "Bacterial small subunit ribosomal RNA", at positions 527 to 896 of the family's 1533-position model. The record is from RNAcentral.
GUAGGUGGCAAGCGUUGUCCGGAAUUAUUUGGCGUAAAGCGCGCGCAGGCGGUUCUUUAAGUCUGAUGUGAAAGCCCACGGCUCAACCGUGGAGGGUCAUUGGAAACUGGAGAACUUGAGUACAGAAGAGGAAAGCGGAAUUCCACGUGUAGCGGUGAAAUGCGUAGAGAUGUGGAGGAACACCAGUGGCGAAGGCGGCUUUCUGGUCUGUAACUGACGCUGAGGCGCGAAAGCGUGGGGAGCAGACAGGAUUAGAUACCCUGGUAGUCCACGCCGUAAACGAUGAGUGCAAGUGUUAGGGGGUUUCCGCCCCUUAGUGCUGCAGCUAACGCAUUAAGCACUCCGCCUGGGAGUACGGCCGCAAGGCUG